Molecule: ribosomal RNA, 465 nt
Filed under: uncultured bacterium
Lineage: Bacteria
Description: bacterial SSU rRNA
Rfam family: Bacterial small subunit ribosomal RNA
Source: RNAcentral
GACGAACGCUGGCGGCGCGCCUAACACAUGCAAGUCGAACGAGAGAGAGGAAGCUUGCUUCCUCAAUCGAGUGGCGAACGGGUGAGUAACGCGUGAGGAACCUGCCUCAAAGAGGGGGACAACAGUUGGAAACGACUGCUAAUACCGCAUAAGCCCACAGGUCGGCAUCGACCAGAGGGAAAAACUCCGGUGGUGUGAGAUGGACCCGCGUCUGAUUAGGUAGUUGGUGAGGUAACGGCCCACCAAGCCGACGAUCAGUAGCCGACCUGAGAGGGUGACCGGCCACAUUGGGACUGAGACACGGCCCAGACUCCUACGGGAGGCAGCAGUGGGGAAUAUUGCACAAUGGAGGAAACUCUGAUGCAGCGACGCCGCGUGAGUGAAGAAGUAUUUCGGUAUGUAAAAGCUCUAUCAGCAGGGAAGACAGUGACGGUACCUGACUAAGAAGCUCCGGCUAAAUACGUG